This 619-nucleotide long non-coding RNA is filed under the name Monodelphis domestica (gray short-tailed opossum). RNAcentral's name for it is "lncRNA (ENSMODG00000048989.1)". Lineage: Eukaryota; Metazoa; Chordata; Mammalia; Didelphimorphia; Didelphidae. The record is from RNAcentral.
UAAGAGCUUUUCCUAUCUCAAGUCUCUGGAGAACAAAGAACAGCCCUUCAAAUUUUCCCUGUGGUUACUGAUCAGCUGAAGAGCAGUUUGGAGCAGAUCUGGUUAUCCCUGUUGUCUGCCAACCAGGAAAAAAGAAACUCAGAGCAAGAUCUUGACAAAACUGAGACACAACUAUGAUUUUAUGCUGAAAGGGAUUAAACAUGGUGUGCUAUGCCUAUUUCAGAACUAACUUCAUGAGAGGUUCAACAAAAAAGUUCGCCUCAAAGAGAAGAAUAUGGACCACAGAAAAUUACUGGGACCACCUAGCAAGUCAUAGAGCAGUUAUUACUACAGUGACCAAAAGGGGUGUCCAUGGUGAAAAAGUCACAAAUCCUUGAAAUAUUAACGUUGUCACCUGCCAAUGGGAAACAAAAAUCAAUGCACUCCAAAAAAGGCACAAUGCAUUUGCAGCACGAACUUCAGUCACCCACAUUUGUGGGAAGAACAAAUGUUUACCAACUCAUCUCUCCAGUAUUGUUCUGUUAUUGAGCUUUCUCAUGUACAAUGCUAUUAACACUGCCUGGAAUAUGAGUGAGUGAAAUCCAAUAAAAUGCCAUCUGAGAGCUCUUGGACCUAGAAA